RNAcentral lists this ribosomal RNA (575 nucleotides) under uncultured beta proteobacterium. RNAcentral's name for it is "bacterial SSU rRNA". It matches the Rfam family "Bacterial small subunit ribosomal RNA", at positions 338 to 907 of the family's 1533-position model. Lineage: Bacteria; Pseudomonadati; Pseudomonadota; Betaproteobacteria. The record is from RNAcentral.
CCUACGGGAGGCAGCAGUGGGGAAUUUUGGACAAUGGGGGCAACCCUGAUCCAGCAAUGCCGCGUGAGUGAAGAAGGCCUUCGGGUUGUAAAGCUCUUUUGUCAGGGAAGAAACAGCAGCUCUAACACAGUCUGCGAAUGACGGUACCUGAAGAAUAAGCACCGGCUAACUACGUGCCAGCAGCCGCGGUAAUACGUAGGGUGCAAGCGUUAAUCGGAAUUACUGGGCGUAAAGCGUGCGCAGGCGGUCUUGUAAGACAGAGGUGAAAUCCCCGGGCUCAACCUGGGAACUGCCUUUGUGACUGCAAGGCUGGAGUACGGCAGAGGGGGAUGGAAUUCCGCGUGUAGCAGUGAAAUGCGUAGAUAUGCGGAGGAACACCGAUGGCGAAGGCAAUCCCCUGGGCCUGUACUGACGCUCAUGCACGAAAGCGUGGGGAGCAAACAGGAUUAGAUACCCUGGUAGUCCACGCCCUAAACGAUGUCAACUGGUUGUUGGGUCUUCACUGACUCAGUAACGAAGCUAACGCGUGAAGUUGACCGCCUGGGGAGUACGGCCGCAAGGUUGAAACUCAAAGG